This is a long non-coding RNA of Medicago truncatula (barrel medic), 2094 nucleotides long. RefSeq lists it as uncharacterized. The record is from RefSeq and is a predicted model, not a curated record. The transcript has 3 exons. NCBI's taxonomy places the organism in Eukaryota, Viridiplantae, Streptophyta, Magnoliopsida, Fabales, Fabaceae.
UUGCAUUUGCAUAAAAAAUUUCAUAUAAAGUUCUACCUUCAAUGUACUAUUUUAGAAUAGAGUAGUCAUCAAUUUAGCAUAAUGCUUGAUGAAUUUUUCUAUACUCAAUGUUGCUAUACUAUAUCUAUUUCUGAAAUUCUUAAAAUCUUUUAGAGCCGACUCCAAAAUGUGUGGUAAAAUGAUGCAAUUAGUGUUAGAUUAUGUGUGUGUGAAAGUAAGGAGUUGAACAAUUAAUUCUUUCUUGGCUAGUUCAAGUUCAACUAUUAGACCUGAACCAGAUGGUGUAAACCCUGUGUUUUUGACAUUUAUGUCUCUUGCUGAACCCUGUGUUCUUUCUUAAUAUGACGCAUUGUUCUUGCAGGUAAAUGCAAUGAUCCGGAGAGCAUCAAAGACUAUAGACCAAUUACAAUGUGUUAUACUCCUAUAAUAAGAGGUAUUGUCAAACAGAUUAAAACCUCUUCUCGCCAUGUUUAUAACUCUAGAGCAAGCGGCUUUUGUCCGAGUUCUGAAGCUUGACAUAAUCAAAAGCUUUUGAUCAAGUUGAUGGGCGAUACCUCUCAGAUGUUAUGUCAAAGGCAGGCUUCUCCAAUCAAUGAAUAAAUGGAUUUGUUUGGUUAUGUGUGACCUCUGUCAACUACAACGUCUGCCUCAAUAAUGAAGCAGUUGGUCCGAUUUUCCAAAUGAAGUGCCUUACCUCUAUAUCAUAUGUGCAAAGAACAUCUCUGUCUUAUCAAGCAUAGAGUUUCACAAGGAGCUAUUCAUAGGUCCAAAAUCCAUCGAGGUACGCCUUCUAUUAGCCACCUUUUUUCGAUGAUGAUUCUUUCUUAUUUUUCAGGGUCAACAUAGGUGAAACCGAGAUAUCAAAAAAAUUAUAGAUACCUAUGAGGCUGCCUCAUGCCAGGCAAUUAACUUGAAUAAAUCCGAAAUUGCUUUCAGUUCCAAUGUUAAUUAUGAUAUUUGGGCUACUAUUGCAAAUUCUCUAGGAUUGGGAUCUUAUUUAGACCUUCCUCCACUGAUUGGAAGAGGCAAAAAUAGUGUUUUUUUUUUUUAUUGGAUUUAUAAAUGAUUGUACUUGGAGCCGAGUUCAAUAUUGGAGUUCUAAAUGUCUUUGUAGAGCGGGUAACAAGGUCCUCACUACAUCGGCAGUUCAGUCCAUCCCUACCUAUUGUAUGAGUGCAUUCGCAUUCCGCUUGCCCUCCACUCUUACUUUAGAGACUGAACAUAUCAAUUCCUUUUAGGGGGUUCGAAGAAAAUGGCCGAAGAAGUAUGAAUUGGUUGAGUUGGAAAGUACACCGGCGGCAAGUCCUCUUUUAGACUUUACAUGGAUGCUUUUACACAUUCUCGUGAAACUAAUGUGAAUGGUAAUUGGCACUUGCCGUGAGCUCAGCCAAAGAAGAGAUUUCCGUGUCCAAUCACUUGUGUUAACCGUGAUGCAGAAAACGAAAGCUCCAGCCACAUUCUUUUCUCUUGCGGCCUUGCUGUAUCAAUCUGCAGAAGCUGGAUAUUUUGGAAUCAGCUCAGUCUGUUGCUGAUUCAAAGUGAUCAACUCGCUUCUGUUCUCUUUGGUGCGUGCAAUAUUCUUUCCCAAGCAAACUUGCAGCAGUUCUGUGUUACUAUAUUUUUCGUUUGGAGUGCACAAACUAUGGAAUGGCAAAGUGUGGGAUGCGAACCAGAUUUUAGCUCGAGCGAAACACUUCCUUGCGGAUCAAAACUGGGUGAGUAUAAGAACAGAUCCCAAGUCUGACUCCUCUCAUCCUCUGCCUGCUGAAAAGUGCCACAAACCGCAGACGGUUAUCUCAAAUGCAAUGCAGACGCAUCUUUCUUCCAACAGAUGCAGACAGUAGGACCGGGAAUGUGUGUUAGAGACCAUCUAAAUGCAGGUAGUAGAAGGUGGUAGUGAAACGUAUAAGUUCAUGAUGUUUGUGUUUGCUGAUUUCAUAUUGUUGGAGAAGGAUUGGCAAUAGGAACAGGGUGGCUGGUGGUGCAGUUCACAAUGGGGGCUUGGAUUUGGUCAUCACAAGAACAUAAGGUUUGCUUUUGAGUGAGAGGACAGGCUAAUUAUUUUGACAUGUUUCAGAAACAGCAAAAUGGUGG